RNAcentral lists this ribosomal RNA (207 nucleotides) under uncultured bacterium. RNAcentral's name for it is "partial 16S ribosomal RNA". It matches the Rfam family "Bacterial small subunit ribosomal RNA", at positions 568 to 774 of the family's 1533-position model. The record is from RNAcentral.
CAUGUAGGCGGUUGUUUAAGUCUGAUGUGAAGGCCCUGGGCUCAACCCAGGAAGUGCAUUGGAUACUGGACAACUUGAGUACGGGAGAGGAAAGUGGAAUUUUGAGUGUAGGGGCGAAAUCCGUAGAUAUUCGAAGGAACACCAGUGGCGAAGGCGGCUUUCUGGACCGAUACUGACGCUGAGAUGCGAAAGCGUGGGGAGCAAACA